RNAcentral lists this unclassified non-coding RNA (237 nucleotides) under plant metagenome. Its description in RNAcentral is "partial contains small subunit ribosomal RNA and internal transcribed spacer 1". The stretch from base 1 to 46 matches the Rfam family "Eukaryotic small subunit ribosomal RNA", at positions 1786 to 1831 of the family's 1831-position model. The record is from RNAcentral.
AAGUCGUAACAAGGUUUCCGUAGGUGAACCUGCGGAAGGAUCAUUAAAGAGAUAGGGGUCUUCAUGGCCCCGACCUCCAACCCUCUGUUGUUAUAAACUACCUUGUUGCUUUGGCGGGACCGUCUCGGUCCCCGAGCGCACUAACCCCUCGGGGUUGGGUGAGCGCCCGCCAGAGUCCAAACCAAACUCUUGUAUUAAACCAGUCGUCUGAGUAAUAAAAAUUUUAAUUAAAUAAAA